This is a long non-coding RNA of Tribolium castaneum (red flour beetle), 464 nucleotides long. RefSeq lists it as uncharacterized. The record is from RefSeq and is a predicted model, not a curated record. The transcript has 2 exons. Lineage: Eukaryota; Metazoa; Arthropoda; Insecta; Coleoptera; Tenebrionidae.
GGGCGUCUAGGUAAUUUUAUUUCCGAAUUGCACGGCAGAUCACGACCUCUACCGUCGUUUGAGUUUAAAAUUUUAGCUGCCAAGCGUUGUCAUUUCGCCGUCACACCAAAUGUUAUCAGUUAAAAAAAUAAUAAUUUGCUCAUAUAUGCGUUAAGACCAAGAUGGUGAGUUAAAAUAGCUUCCAAAGAAGUUUUUCAGCGAUGGAAGUUAAAUUUGUUCUUUUGGAAAUGUCUAAUUAAAUCCCAAUACGAUUAAAAUGACUGAUGUGAUGGCCUAAGAUUUGGAAGAGUAAAUACUAAGUAUGUACAACACUUACUGCAAUGAGUAAAGCAGAAAAAGGACAAGUAGUCAAUAAAUUUGCUGUGAAAAUGGUUUACGCAAAGUUUAGUAUUAUACGUUAUUUUUUAACCCUUUGAUAAAAAGAAAAAAUACAUUGAAAAAUACCAAAGGAGUUCAAAUAUAAA